RNAcentral lists this ribosomal RNA (1256 nucleotides) under Salmonella enterica subsp. enterica serovar Anatum. RNAcentral describes it as "partial 23S ribosomal RNA". It matches the Rfam family "Bacterial large subunit ribosomal RNA", at positions 1 to 1187 of the family's 2925-position model. Lineage: Bacteria; Pseudomonadati; Pseudomonadota; Gammaproteobacteria; Enterobacterales; Enterobacteriaceae. The record is from RNAcentral.
GGGUUGUGAGGUUAAGCGACUAAGCGUACACGGUGGAUGCCCUGGCAGUCAGAGGCGAUGAAGGGCGUGCUAAUCUGCGAUAAGCGCCGGUAAGGUGAUAUGAACCGUUAUAACCGGCGAUACCCGAAUGGGGAAACCCAGUGUGACUCGUCACACUAUCAUUAACUGAAUCCAUAGGUUAAUGAGGCGAACCGGGGGAACUGAAACAUCUAAGUACCCCGAGGAAAAGAAAUCAACCGAGAUUCCCCCAGUAGCGGCGAGCGAACGGGGAGGAGCCCAGAGCCUGAAUCAGCAUGUGUGUUAGUGGAAGCGUCUGGAAAGGCGCGCGAUACAGGGUGACAGCCCCGUACACAAAAGCGCAUGUGCUGUGAGCUCGAUGAGUAGGGCGGGACACGUGGUAUCCUGUCUGAAUAUGGGGGGACCAUCCUCCAAGGCUAAAUACUCCUGACUGACCGAUAGUGAACCAGUACCGUGAGGGAAAGGCGAAAAGAACCCCGGCGAGGGGAGUGAAAAAGAACCUGAAACCGUGUACGUACAAGCAGUGGGAGCCCCACCACCAAAGCAUUCUCUGGUGUUGAAGGCCCUGCAAAGCAGCAUCGCGGUGGCGGAGCGUCGUUUGCGACGCCCAACACACAAAACAAGCGGUGAGUGCUUUGGGGUGGGGUGACUGCGUACCUUUUGUAUAAUGGGUCAGCGACUUAUAUUCUGUAGCAAGGUUAACCGUAUAGGGGAGCCGUAGGGAAACCGAGUCUUAACCGGGCGUUAAGUUGCAGGGUAUAGACCCGAAACCCGGUGAUCUAGCCAUGGGCAGGUUGAAGGUUGGGUAACACUAACUGGAGGACCGAACCGACUAAUGUUGAAAAAUUAGCGGAUGACUUGUGGCUGGGGGUGAAAGGCCAAUCAAACCGGGAGAUAGCUGGUUCUCCCCGAAAGCUAUUUAGGUAGCGCCUCGUGAAUUCAUCUUCGGGGGUAGAGCACUGUUUCGGCUAGGGGGUCAUCCCGACUUACCAACCCGAUGCAAACUGCGAAUACCGGAGAAUGUUAUCACGGGAGACACACGGCGGGUGCUAACGUCCGUCGUGAAGAGGGAAACAACCCAGACCGCCAGCUAAGGUCCCAAAGUCAUGGUUAAGUGGGAAACGAUGUGGGAAGGCCCAGACAGCCAGGAUGUUGGCUUAGAAGCAGCCAUCAUUUAAAGAAAGCGUAAUAGCUCACUGGUCGAGUCGGCCUGCGCGGAAGAUGUAACGGGGCUAAAC